UUGUUGGUAAGGUAAAAGCUUACCAAGGCUUCGAUCAGUAGCUGGUCUGAGAGGACGACCAGCCACACUGGGACUGAGACACGGCCCAGACUCCUACGGGAGGCAGCAGUGGGGAAUUUUGGACAAUGGGGGCAACCCUGAUCCAGCCAUGCCGCGUGAGUGAAGAAGGCCUUCGGGUUGUAAAGCUCUUUCAGCCGGAACGAAACGGUUACGGUUAAUACCCGUGACUACUGACGGUACCGGAAGAAGAAGCACCGGCUAACUACGUGCCAGCAGCCGCGGUAAUACGUAGGGUGCGAGCGUUAAUCGGAAUUACUGGGCGUAAAGCGUGCGCAGGUGGUUUUGUAAGUCAGAUGUGAAAGCCCCGGGCUCAACCUGGGAACUGCGUUUGAAACUGCAAGACUAGAGUGUGGCAGAGGGGGGUGGAAUUCCGCGUGUAGCAGUGAAAUGCGUAGAGAUGUGGAGGAACACCGAUGGCGAAGGCAGCCCCCUGGGUCAACACUGACGCUCAGGCACGAAAGCAUGGGGAGCAAACAGGAUUAGAUACCCUGGUAGUCCAUGCCCUAAACGAUGUCAACUAGUUGUCGGGCCUUUACGGGCUUGGUAACGUAGCUAACGCGUGAAGUUGACCGCCUGGGGAGUACGAUCGCAAGAUUAAAACUCAAAUGAAUUGACGGGGACCCGCACAAGCGGUGGAUUAUGUGGAUUAAUUCGAUGCAACGCGAAAAACCUUACCUACCCUUGACAUGUAUCGAAGCCCGCAGAAAAGCGGGGGUGCCCGAAAGGGAACGAUAACACAGGUGCUGCAUGGCUGUCGUCAGCUCGUGUCGUGAGAUGUUGGGUUAAGUCCCGCAACGAGCGCAACCCUUGUCAUUAAUUGCCAUCAUUUAGUUGGGCACUUUAAUGAGACUGCCGG
RNAcentral lists this ribosomal RNA (916 nucleotides) under uncultured bacterium. Its description in RNAcentral is "bacterial SSU rRNA". It matches the Rfam family "Bacterial small subunit ribosomal RNA", at positions 246 to 1155 of the family's 1533-position model. The record is from RNAcentral.